UUCGCGUCUAAGCAGCCUCGCAGGGGCAUGCGCAGCGAGACUGCGGGCGCUUGGGGGCAGCCCUGGCGGGUCCUCAAAGUUUGACGGUGUUAGCUUUCAGUUUUCUCGCUGGUUUACGGAAAGGCAGCUUCAAGGAAAGGAGACAAGAUUCUGGCUCGGGAAGCGCGCGUUUGGAGAGAGCCCUCCGGCCUGCGGAAUCCGCGGUCUGAAACCGCGGAGACUGCCUUAGCCGCGGACGCACCUCCUCCGACGGGUAGAGCGGACACCCUUCCGGAGGUGGGAGACGAGGGCCCGGCCUCCGAGAGCCCCUCUGAAGAAGAUGACCCAAGACCAACCUCUGCUUGCGGUGCAGGAGGCCCUGAAGCAGUGCUUCCCGGUGGUGGAGGAGCAGCAGGGCCUGUGGCAGAGUGCCCUAAGCGACUGCCAGCCCCUCCUGCUGUCCCUCAGCAACCUGGCAGAGCAGCUGCAGGCGGCCCAGAAUCUGCGGUUUGAGGACGUGCCACCACUUCGGGCCUUCCCAGACUUAAAGGAGCGGCUGAGGCGCAAGCAGCUGUGGGCUGGCGACACUGUCUUGGACAAGUUAGAGGAGAGGCUAACCGCCCUCCUCAAGGUGCGUGACACCGUCAGCAGCCACGUGGAGCGAGUGCUUCAGACCUAUGAGCAGCAUGCAGACACGAUUGGCAUGGAUGGUGUCCUCCAGGCUUCGGUUGUGAGCCCUUCGGUGGCUGACAUGUUGGAAUGGUUGCAAGAUAUUGAGAGACAUUAUCGAAAUUCGUAUCCUUUGCACAUGUUUCAGGCAGCGUCCAGAGCUGCUUCAGGAAGUCUUUCAGUUUUCGUGAGAUUAUACCACUACGUAGUAUGGGUCAGUCAGUUCUCUUUGAUCUCUGAACUUAGAGAAGAAUAAAGCAGGGCAAGUGAGGGAUGAGCAUUGAGUCCUGACUUGAAAUAGGGUGGGCAGGAGAGGGCUCACUGGGUUAGUGGCAUUUGAGAAAAGACCUAACGAGAGCGAAGGAGAGAGCCACGUGAUAUUUGGGGGAAGCGUGUCCCAGGUAGAAGAAAUCGCAAGUGCAAAGGCCCUGUGGGGGAGAGCAUGCCUGACAUGUUCAUGAAAUAGUGCGGAAGCCAGCAGGGCUAGAGCGGAUGAGGACGGGGAGCCUAACAGGUGACACGUCAGAGAGAUGGGGCUGGACCUUCUAGGGCCCUGGAGGUCUUUGAAAGGAUUUUGGCUUUUGCUCAGAGUGAGGUGGAAAGCUGUUAGAAGGUUUUGAGAAGAAGGAUAACAUAAUCAGCCUGUGUUUUCUCACAGUAUCACCUGGCUGAGUUCGGAGGAAAGACUUGGGGUGGUGUGGAGCCAGGGGAGCUGCAGGAAUACCUAACCAGUUCAUUGGAGUUCUGGCCCUUUUCUCUCAAUUCUUUUUUUUUUUUUUUUUUUCCUAAUGUUUAUUUAUUUUUGAGAGACGGAGUGUGAGCAGAGGAGGGGCAGAGAGAGAGGGAGACACAGAACCCGAAAGGAGGCCCCAGGCUCCUUGCUGUCAGCACAGAGCCCAAUGCGGGGCUCGAACUCCUGAACCAUGAGUUCACGACCUGAGCUGAAGUUGGCCGCUUCACUGACUGAGCCACUCAGGCGCCCCUCUCAUAAGUCUUGCCUGAAUCACACAUCUCCGCUCUGGCUUCAGUUUCUGCCUUCAUUUGAGUAACUCCCCAAUCCGCCCUUCAUUCUCGUUUCUAGCCUUGAUGUUCAGCUUCCCGCAGCUGCCUCCAGCCGGGUCGCUCCUGGGAGCACAAGCUCCUCGGUCCCGCCGCCACACUCAGUCCCCUUUCUCUCCAGGUGUAGGAUCAACCCUGUGUGAUCAUUGUGUGGGAACUCCAGCAGCCCCUUCCCCCUCUCCCUCUCUCUUUCCUUUUUCACUGCAUUGGUGGCAGCUGUGGCGGUGGCAGCUGUGGAGGCAGUGGGACAGCCUAGGCGGGGGAGCAGUAGCCGCAGCCAGUGUUACUGAGCGCUGACUAUGUGCCAGGUACUCUUCUCCCAACGUCCACACGGCCGCCUGUCAGGUGUUUUGAAUCCGUUUCCUUGGCGCUUCUUGUAUUUUAUUUCUCUAUCUGCACUGCCUCUUCCAUAGUCUCUUGCCUCUCAUGAGGCCCCUUGAUCUGUGCAGCCUCUUGACAGGUUUCUCUGUCUCUGCCUUCUUUCCCUCUAAGCUGGCUCCGGCUAGGGACCUCAACGGUAGCCUGAAGACAUCUUUGUUCUGCCUGUUGCUUAUAGAGGAGUUUUCGACAGCUUCCAGAAUCCCCAUGUGGGUCUUCGGUGCUCUUUGUGUUCUGGCUCAGCCUGCCUUCUCGGCCACCUUUCUGACUGCUGUGCGUGUUCCAGCCGGCCAGAUUGGAGGAUUUACUCGGCCCUGAAACCAUUCCAUGCUUCCUCACUUCUGCACCUUAUGCUUUUCUUGCCAGAUGGAAUCUUCCUGAGGCCCUCCAAAUGGGAGGGACUCGUCACUCAACUUCUGAACCGCCACAGAGUUUCCUCUUUUGUGUCCCUGAGAUUCUCCCUUUCUACUUUCUGGUUUUUCUGCUCAGCGUGGUGAGAUCCUAGAUUGUUGGGGUGAUGUUUCAUCCCUCUGGCCCUGUAGCACUGUGAGUGAAGAGGUGCUCAGCAAAGAUGUGUGACACAGCAUAUUUCGUUGUCUUUUUGAGCAGUCCUUAACUUCCCGGAAGUUACCUGAAGAGAAAGUGCCUCCUGUCCUCCAUCCAGUGGGGAGACUUGGCCAACAUCCAAUCUUUGCCCAAGGCCUGGGACCGGAUUUCAGAAGAUGAACACCAAACCCUUGUACAAGGUACUGGUUUUCAUUUAUGCCUUC
Molecule: RNA transcript, 2855 nt
Organism: Prionailurus viverrinus (fishing cat)
Lineage: Eukaryota; Metazoa; Chordata; Mammalia; Carnivora; Felidae
Gene: AIRIM
Gene name: chromosome C1 C1orf109 homolog
Exons: 4
Source: RefSeq, a predicted model, not a curated record